Molecule: non-coding RNA, 71 nt
Organism: Podarcis lilfordi (Lilford's wall lizard)
Lineage: Eukaryota; Metazoa; Chordata; Lepidosauria; Squamata; Lacertidae
Source: the annotation of a GenBank genome assembly
GAAGCGACAUCUGUCACUCCAUAGAUCAUCAGGGUUGAUUCAGCUGACCUGGCAGGCUAGGCAGGUGUCCC